UUCCGGGCCCGCCCCCCGGCCCCUCGGUCCCCGCCCCGGGGCGGGGCUUCGCUCGGCGGCCGGCCGGCCUUUCCGCUGCGGCCCGUGCCCCGGCUGGAGGGCCGCGGCCGCGCUCCGGACACGUGCGGAGGGAACAGCCGAGGGCUUUGGAGAGAUGCAGCCCCAGGAUAACUUGAAAGUAGGGCAUGUUUGGCCCUCCUGAAGAGAGAAAAUUAGUGGUUGGUGAACAGUCUGUAUGGCAUUCUCAGAUGCCUUUACCUGAGGGAGAAAUCUGCCUCCAUUCAGACCUCAGAUGUCUCUUGACAGCCCUAUGUGACACUGGGAUAGGAUAUUCCUGUAAGUAUACUGCAGGACAUGUGGCGUUCUACAACAUUGACAACAUUCACUGCAUGUUGAUCAUGUGCCAGAAUUGGUAAACUCAUUCUACAUAUCUUAAUCUUCUCAACAGGCCUAAGAGAUACUGCUGUUAUUUGUCCAAGGUCACACAGUGGGCCCAGAAACUACUGUUGUGUUCAGUUAAUCUGGCUCCAAAGCUAGAGUUUGACUUGGAACUUUUAAGUAUGGUGCCCCCAAGUCUUUCCAACUAAUUCUAAUAAAUAAUUGCUUGCUUUCUUCA
Molecule: long non-coding RNA, 616 nt
Filed under: Canis lupus dingo (dingo)
Lineage: Eukaryota; Metazoa; Chordata; Mammalia; Carnivora; Canidae
Description: lncRNA (ENSCAFG00020010469.1)
Source: RNAcentral